CCUACGGGAGGCAGCAGUGAGGAAUAUUGGUCAAUGGGCGCGAGCCUGAACCAGCCAAGUAGCGUGAAGGAUGACUGCCCUACGGGUUGUAAACUGCUUUUAUAAAGGAAUAAAGUGAGGCACGGGUGACUUUGUGGAUGUAAGUGAGGAAUAAGGAUCGGCUAACUCCGGGCCAGCAGCAGCGGUAAUACGGAGGAUCCGAGCGUGAUCCGGAUUUAUUGGGGUUAAAGGGAGCGUAGAUGGGUUGGUUAGUCAGUUGUGAAAGUUUGCGGCUCAACCGUCAAAUUGCAAUUGAUACUGGCAGCCUUGAGUACAGUUGCGGUAGGCGGAAUUCGUGGUGUAGCGGUGAACUGCUUAGAUAUCACG
Molecule: ribosomal RNA, 366 nt
Filed under: uncultured bacterium
Lineage: Bacteria
Description: partial 16S ribosomal RNA
Rfam family: Bacterial small subunit ribosomal RNA
Source: RNAcentral